UGCAAGUCGAACGAUGAAAUCACUUCGGUGGUGGAUUAGUGGCGAACGGGUGAGUAACACGUGGGCAAUCUGCCCUUCACUCUGGGACAAGCCCUGGAAACGGGGUCUAAUACCGGAUACCACUUUGUCCCGCAUGGGACGGGGUUGAAAGCUCCGGCGGUGAAGGAUGAGCCCGCGGCCUAUCAGCUUGUUGGUGGGGUAAUGGCCUACCAAGGCGACGACGGGUAGCCGGCCUGAGAGGGCGACCGGCCACACUGGGACUGAGACACGGCCCAGACUCCUACGGGAGGCAGCAGUGGGGAAUAUUGCACAAUGGGCGAAAGCCUGAUGCAGCGACGCCGCGUGAGGGAUGACGGCCUUCGGGUUGUAAACCUCUUUCAGCAGGGAAGAAGCGCAAGUGACGGUACCUGCAGAAGAAGCGCCGGCUAACUACGUGCCAGCAGCCGCGGUAAUACGUAGGGCGCAAGCGUUGUCCGGAAUUAUUGGGCGUAAAGAGCUCGUAGGCGGCUUGUCACGUCGGAUGUGAAAGCCCGGGGCUUAACCCCGGGUCUGCAUUCGAUACGGGCUAGCUAGAGUGUGGUAGGGGAGAUCGGAAUUCCUGGUGUAGCGGUGAAAUGCGCAGAUAUCAGGAGGAACACCGGUGGCGAAGGCGGAUCUCUGGGCCAUUACUGACGCUGAGGAGCGAAAGCGUGGGGAGCGAACAGGAUUAGAUACCCUGGUAGUCCACGCCGUAAACGUUGGGAACUAGGUGUUGGCGACAUUCCACG
RNAcentral lists this ribosomal RNA (767 nucleotides) under Streptomyces sp. Its description in RNAcentral is "bacterial SSU rRNA". It matches the Rfam family "Bacterial small subunit ribosomal RNA", at positions 56 to 836 of the family's 1533-position model. The record is from RNAcentral. Lineage: Bacteria; Bacillati; Actinomycetota; Actinomycetes; Kitasatosporales; Streptomycetaceae.